AAUAGAUACCCUGGUAGUCCACGCCGUAAACGAUGAGUGCUAAGUGUUAGGGGGGUUCCACCCCUUAGUGCUGCAGCUAACGCAUUAAGCACUCCGCCUGGGGAGUACGGUCGCAAGACUGAAACUCAAAGGAAUUGACGGGGGCCCGCACAAGCGGUGGAGCAUGUGGUUUAAUUCGAAGCAACGCGAAGAACCUUACCAGGUCUUGACAUCCCGCUGACCGCCAUGGAGACAUGGCCUUCCCUUCGGGGACAGCGGUGACAGGUGGUGCAUGGUUGUCGUCAGCUCGUGUCGUGAGAUGUCGGGUUAAGUCCCGCAACGAGCGCAACCCUUGUCCUUAGUUGCCAUCAUUCAGUUGGGCACUCUAAGGAGACUGCCGUACAAAUACGGAGGAAGGUGGGGAUGACGUCAAAUCAUCAUGCCCCUUAUGACCUGGGCUACACACGUGCUACAAUGGGUGGUACAAAGGGCGGCGAACCCGCGAGGGGGAGCGAAUCCCAAAAAGCCACUCUCAGUUCGGAUUGCAGGCUGCAACC
This 536-nucleotide ribosomal RNA is filed under the name uncultured bacterium. RNAcentral's name for it is "bacterial SSU rRNA". It matches the Rfam family "Bacterial small subunit ribosomal RNA", at positions 777 to 1312 of the family's 1533-position model. The record is from RNAcentral.